This 2315-nucleotide long non-coding RNA is filed under the name Homo sapiens (human). RNAcentral describes it as "HSALNT0358883". The record is from RNAcentral. Lineage: Eukaryota; Metazoa; Chordata; Mammalia; Primates; Hominidae.
UGGAGUUUCACUCUGUUGUCCAGGCUGGAGUGCAGUGGCCCGAUCCCGGCUCACUGCAACCUCCGCCUCUCAGAUUCAAGAGAUUUUCCUGCGUCAGCCUCCGGAGUAGCUGGGACUACAGGAGGGCGCAACAGCACGACCUGAAAACUUUCCAGACAGGGACAGAGCAAGGUGGUGGAAUAGAAGGCUCCACUGAUCAUCUCCUCUGCAAGGACACCAAGUUAACAACUAUCUAUACAGAAUAGAUUUUGGUUCAUUAAGAACUAAAAAUCAGACAGGAUUUCACUUUGUUACCCAGCCUGGAGUGCAGUGGUGUGAUCUCAGCUCACUGCAGCCUCAAACUCCUGAGCCCAGGUGAUCCUCCUGCCUCAGCCUCCCAAGUAGCUGGGACUACAGCUGAAUUCUUUCUUCCAAGAAGAAUCAAGGACCAAGGAUCCCAUUUGAAUUCUCCACUGGUAUCAGGACUCCUGCAACAGAAGACAGAUUAACAGCAGAAAAGCAAACAUAAGUUUAAUAACAGGUACAGCUCCUGAAUAUGUCACACGCAUCCACGUGAAAAGACCACCAAACAGGCUUUGUGUGAGCAAUAAAGCUUUUACUCACCUGGGUGCAGGCAGGCUGAGUCCAAAAAAGGAGUCAGCUAAGGGAGAUAGGGGUGAGACAGUUUUAUAGGAUUUGGGCAGGUAGCGGAAAAUUGCAGUCAAAGGGGGUUGUUCUCUGGCAGCCAGGGGCGGGGGUCACAAGGUGCUCCAAUGGGGAGCUUCUGAGAAUCAUUGUCCAGGAGAAGGAAUUUCACAAGGUAAUGUCAUCAGUUAAGGCAGGAACCAGCCAUUUUCACUUCUUUUGUGGUUCUUCAGUUGCCUCAGGCCAUCUGGAUGUAUACAUGCAGGCUUGGGCUCAGAGGACUGACAGUAUACAUGAGAGAGAACUCAGAGAAAUCAGUAAACCUCUAAAGUUGUCAAAAAGUUUGACAACUCAAACAAAAAGUUUGAGAUCGCUAAAGAUCUCAAAAAGUUGUCCUCAGACUUCAGGCUUAAAUAUAAUCAUUCUCAAAAUCAAAGAAAGAGGGGCGUGGGGACAGGCCCUUUAACUGUAAAACAAGGAUAAGGUCUGUUAUGCAGAUUUAAGUAUAUACCCCUUCUUUUAACUAAAGUCUCUAGUGAUUUAGUUGGUCUUCUCUUCCUGGUACAAAGUGGGAAACACUUUUUACAAAAGGAGAUCUCUUUAUAGAUGUAAAUUUUUCUUAUAAAUGGAUAAACUUUCAGAGGUGCUUCUGUGUCUGAGGUGCCAUAGAGGUGAAUUGGGGGUGCAUAUACUGGUCUCUUACAGUCAUAUGUGGAGAAACAUUUUCUGAACCCCAUCAGUAGCAAUACAGCCUAUGUCCUUAUGACCCUUGUAAAGUGACUAUUCAGAAUCUAACAAAGGUUGAUGGAAUGAGCAUCUGACCAAUGUAAAUCAAAGAAAAUUACUGCAGCGAGUCUCAGUCAUGUUAGAGGUUUAUUUGCCAAGGUUAAGGAUGAGCACAGGAUAACAGGAACACAGACCACAGAAAACAUCUGUGUUUUCUGGUACUUUAAUAUUUAAAGGAAAAAAGUGGGUAUUAAGGGAAAGAGGGAAAAAAAAGGAGAGUAGAUAAAAGAGGCAAGUGGUUGCAUUUCUUUGAGUCUGCUCAGUCUUUGCUGAAUCCACAUUUUACAUGUGAAAGAGAGUAGAGGAAUAGUCACUUAUGUAAUUGUCUCUUGCUCAGGGAAUCUGCAUUUUUAUGUAAGAUAAAAUAAAUAUAGGGUAGAGGAAGCAGUUAGAUAUGCAUUUGUCUCAGGUGAGUGGAGGAAUGACUUAGUUCUGUCCUCUGCCCCAUAACUAUGAAGAUAAGUUGUCAAUUUACAUUGUCAGAGUGAAAUUUAACAGAACAAUUUUAGGGGAAAGAUCUUGGGGGCCUACAAGGAAUUUCCUUGUGAGCAAAUUGUGAGGGAAGUAUGUAGCUUUUUUAUCUUUGUAGCUAUUUUAUUAGGAACAAAACUGGAUGCAGGUUUGGGUGACCCAGUUCCCAGCUUGACUUUUCCCUUUGGCUUAGGGAAUCUGGGGUACUGAGAUUUAUUUUCCUUUCACAUCACCCAGGCCUUAUUUGAUCUCAGGUCUUCCCAUUUUGCCUCACCUCCAGUGCUCUCUUAGAACAGAAUACCUUCCCAGCAAGGAUAUCACACUCCUAACUUUUAAUCUAUUGCCUUCAUUUGCAGACUGUUCAAUCAUUGUUUUCCCCCUCCCAUUCUGUUGCAACCCAUUGUGAAAUUAAUAAACAAAUAAUAUCUAUUUUA